UUUUUAGUAUAAGUAUGUUCCAUGCAAUAUUUGGCAAUAGUUAUACUAAAA
This 51-nucleotide microRNA precursor is filed under the name Pteropus alecto (black flying fox). RNAcentral describes it as "mir-1302 microRNA precursor family". It matches the Rfam family "mir-1302 microRNA precursor family". Lineage: Eukaryota; Metazoa; Chordata; Mammalia; Chiroptera; Pteropodidae. The record is from Rfam by way of RNAcentral.